CCUCCCAAUGCGCCACCUAUACCUGCUUGUGCAGUGCCGCCAGCGCACGCAAAGCCGCUGGCCAGGCUCAGGGACAACAAGAGAAUCGAGGUAAACUUCAUAGACAGAGUCUCAGUGGGAUGACGGCGCGAUCCUGAGGCUCUGUAAGAAAACUGACAACUUGAAACCGACGAAUAACACGACGUGUACACAAUUUUAUAAGUCUUUGUUUUCAAGAUGAAACUUUCUGAAUUUUGCUGUGUCAGAUGUACUUCGCUAAGGCCAUUUCAGCAAUGAAAUGGCCUUUUUUGUGGGCUUUCGUCAGUUAAAUUAGCUGAAGAAAUACACGGCGUCAGAGGCUCGAUUGGCUAUACACGCGCGGGCCGCUUU
RNAcentral lists this small RNA (369 nucleotides) under Pseudomonas sp. M47T1. RNAcentral's name for it is "Pseudomonas sRNA P34". It matches the Rfam family "Pseudomonas sRNA P34". The record is from Rfam by way of RNAcentral. Lineage: Bacteria; Pseudomonadati; Pseudomonadota; Gammaproteobacteria; Pseudomonadales; Pseudomonadaceae.